Dioscorea cayenensis subsp. rotundata (Guinea yam) is the source of this 1850-nucleotide long non-coding RNA. RefSeq lists it as uncharacterized. The transcript has 7 exons. The record is from RefSeq and is a predicted model, not a curated record. Lineage: Eukaryota; Viridiplantae; Streptophyta; Magnoliopsida; Dioscoreales; Dioscoreaceae.
UCUCUCCACUCCUCUCUUUAACUCCCCAACACUCUCCUUUGUAGCUAAAACUAGUCUAGCUUUCUCUAUAGAUCAGAUAGCAUGCAACAAGUCUCACCUAUUCUCCAUUCUCUCAUCCAAAUUAACCUCCCCACAAGCUGCAUCAUAUAUAUAGCCAAGGUCAAGCUCAAACUACCAAAUUAGUUUUAGGCACACAAAAGGCUAUGUUUGGCGAUGUUCAGGGAAAAGUGAAACAAUUGGGUGAAAAGUUUCCAGUAAUCCGUUGACUGCUCGGUGCAAUAAAAAGGAAGCGAUCAAGGGACACUCUGAUACUCGCUGCAGUCAAACUGGUUCAAACCUUCUUCACAACAGGGAAAUGGGGCAAAAGCGUGUUGCAUCAUUUAUUUAUUUUUAUUCUAGGCGAAAUACUAUUUCUCUGACUCCAUCAUCUUCCCGUCCAUCUACUGGGAAAGUACCUCUACAUCCCCGGAGAACUACGAGUUCAGGGUCUCAUUCUUCAGCUGCUCAUGUGCGUAUAGGUUCUCGAGGCUCCCCGCAAUAGGUUGGUACACGAGCCUUUAUUCCAAAAUAUGCCCCACCUCCUAACAAUGAGGUUCCACCUACUGACGAGGCCCCAAAUGGUAUUCAAAUGAAUACUGAAGAUGAUUCUUACUCAGAAACAGAUGAAUCCACUUAGGAGGAUACAGAGGCACAUGAUGGUGGCACGAUGCAGAAAUCCUUCAUCAUCCCGUCAAGCCUACAGUAAGAUCAUUUAUUUAUUAUUUUAUUAUUAUAUAGGCGUUAUUGAUAUAUCUAAACAUUAUAAUGAUUUUUUUUUUGUACUAAGAAAUUUGUGCUUGAUAUCUUGAAAAAUAUUUUAAAGAAGUACUACACCGCACCUUGGCACUCAUGGAAAGAAGUGUCCAAUGAUGGCUACCUAUGUUAUUGGCAGUAGUUUUAGUCUCAUUUUUCUUGGCAACCGCAUGAUGUCGUAGAAGUGGAAAAAAUGUUUAACAAGAAGGCUGCUGAGUGGUUGCUGAGAAAUCUAGCUCGUGCUCGGGAGAAGCGAAAGAGACCAGAAUGGAAUAGGCACAAUGUUUGGGAGCAGUUGCUAUUGAUUUGGAAUGAUGCAAAAUAUAGAAAAUAUUGUGAGAAGAAUAAAAAGAGCCGGCAGUCAAAAACUGAGGGAUCUACAACAAUUUAUCAUGGUGGUUCCAUAUCUAUGAUUGAACAUCGAGAUAGACUGGAAGCCAAAUUGGGCCGCAAGGUAUCCAUAGUGGAGGCUUUUAAAGAAGUUUAUCAAAAGUAUGAUGGGAGUUGGAAUGAGCAAGUGGCCCAAUUAGCACAUGAGAAAUUUGUCAAACCAAGACAUAUUGGCUCGAGAAGGCCAAGGGGUAGAAAUUGAUGAUGAUAAACUAUGGUGGGACAUAGUCGGAUUAUAAAAAAAAUCGAUGUUAUGGCAUGGGUAACCUUGUUGAAAAGAUAGCUUCUGAUUAUUCUCAUUCGCAAUCUCAGCGUUACACUUUGAGUACUCAGGAAUUUGUUCCUUCUAUGCCUCCAUAGGUUAUGAGUAAGCUGGAAUUUUUAGAGAAAGCAUACGAGGAGCAAACGCAGCAGACCCAAUACAUCAUUUUUCUAUUAGAAUCUCGAGGUAUUUAGGUAAACUUUGAGACAGCUCCUCGCACUUCUCAUGCUGCUGCCAGGACUGGGGAGUCUGCUUCCCAUGCCCCUCACACUUCAGAGGACGUUGAACAUCCUCAGCCCGUUGAUGAAAUUGCAACAAAGUGAAUGUGAUGUUUUGAAUUAACUUUAGAUUGUUAUAUUAGAUGUUUGGACUAUUAUAUUUUGUAUGUGAUUGUUGUAUUAGAUGU